GGUAUCUACCCAGGAGUGGAACUGCUGAGUCAUACGGUCCUACCUGGCCAAGCGCUGCUCUAAAACAUGGUACCGUUCCUCCCUGAGGCUUCCUCCAAUGAGUUCCCCAACCCCGGGAACCAGAAGAUCAACAGCAGCAACCUAGAAAGGAAAUGAAAAUCAUUAGCAUUAUAUUUUCAGUAAGAUGUAAUAGAAAACAUCAAAAACUUUCUCACCAUCCAUGGAGUGAAGAGAGAAAAAAGACGAAAACAUCAAAAAACUUUUAAUAGGAGAAAAUGAUAGCUUGAUAGUUUAAUUUUUUAUUACUCUAAUAAAAUUCUAUUACUAGUAAUAUUUAAUUUUUAAAAACGUUUGUUACCUGUAUUAUUUUGUGACUUGCCAAUUCUUUUAUUUUGGGCAGGUAGACAUUUUUUAAGCCCAAGAAUUUGUAGGUACAAAACUAAGAAAGAUUUAGAGCAACAAAUGAAAAAUUAGGGGUGCAUAAAACACAUUUUAAUCUUUAAAUGUCACAUUAUACUAUAAAGUUUUUUCUUAAACGUUGCCUCACUUAGCCACUAUACUAUCCCUCUAGUUUUGAUUUCAGAACUUCUGAUUGAGGUAUAUUUUAUAAAUAAUUGAGACUAAUAAAGAAUAAUUCAAGAAUGUGCCCCAAAUGCUGUAUACUUUAUCCUUAUUACUAUCAUUAAAGUUAUCAUUAUAUCCUAUUUAGCUUUGACUAAAAUCAACUCAAAAGAGAUUAAAGACUUAAAUAUAAGACCUGAAAAUAUAAAACUAAUAGAAGAAAAUACAGGCAGAAAGCUCUAAGACAUUAGUCUGGGCAAUGAUUUUUUGGAUAUGACUUAGAAAUCACAGACAACAAAAACAAAUGGGAUGGCACGAAACUAAAUAACUUCUGCACAGGAAAGGAAACAAUUAACAAAGUGAAGAGACAAUUUACAAAAUGGGAAAAAAUAUUUGCAAACCAUGUAUCUGACAAAGGGUUAAUACCUAAAAUAUAUAAGGAAUUCAAACAACUCAACAGCAAGUAAACAACCCAAUGAAAAAAUGAGCAAGGGAACUGAACAGGUAUUUCUCAAAAGGAGACAUACAAAUGGCCAAUAGGUAUAUGAAAAAAUGCUCAG
Non-coding RNA from Microcebus murinus (gray mouse lemur), 1121 nucleotides. Lineage: Eukaryota; Metazoa; Chordata; Mammalia; Primates; Cheirogaleidae. The record is from RefSeq and is a predicted model, not a curated record.